CCUACGGGAGGCUGCAGCAGGGAAUCUUCCACAAUGGGCGAAAGCCUGAUGGAGCAACGCCGCGUGGGUGAAGAAGGUCUUCGGAUCGUAAAACCCUGUUGUUAGAGAAGAAAGUGCGUGAGAGUAACUGUUCACGUUUCGACGGUAUCUAACCAGAAAGCCACGGCUAACUACGUGCCAGCAGCCGCGGUAAUACGUAGGUGGCAAGCGUUAUCCGGAUUUAUUGGGCGUAAAGGGAACGCAGGCGGUCUUUUAAGUCUGAUGUGAAAGCCUUCGGCUUAACCGGAGUAGUGCAUUGGAAACUGGGAGACUGGAGUGCAGAAGAGGAGAGUGGAACUCCAUGUGUAGCGGUGAAAUGCGUAGAUAUAUGGAAGAACACCAGUGGCGAAAGCGGCUCUCUGGUCUGUAACUGACGCUGAGGUUCGAAAGCGGGGGUAGCAAACAGGAUUAGAUACCCCUGUAGUC
RNAcentral lists this ribosomal RNA (465 nucleotides) under uncultured bacterium. RNAcentral's name for it is "partial 16S ribosomal RNA". It matches the Rfam family "Bacterial small subunit ribosomal RNA", at positions 338 to 795 of the family's 1533-position model. The record is from RNAcentral.